Molecule: unclassified non-coding RNA, 86 nt
Filed under: Pseudomonas corrugata
Lineage: Bacteria; Pseudomonadati; Pseudomonadota; Gammaproteobacteria; Pseudomonadales; Pseudomonadaceae
Source: RNAcentral
GUAGGAGCCAGGCUUGCCCGCGAUGAAGGCGCCUCGGUUUCAGGACAAACCGCGUUAACUUCAUCGCGGGCAAGCCUGGCUCCCAC